This 492-nucleotide ribosomal RNA is filed under the name uncultured bacterium. RNAcentral's name for it is "partial 16S ribosomal RNA". It matches the Rfam family "Bacterial small subunit ribosomal RNA", at positions 29 to 507 of the family's 1533-position model. The record is from RNAcentral.
AGUGAACGCUGGCGGUAGGCCUAACACAUGCAAGUCGAACGGCAGCACAGUAAGAGCUUGCUCUUACGGGUGGCGAGUGGCGGACGGGUGAGGAAUACAUCGGAAUCUACUUUUUCGUGGGGGAUAACGUAGGGAAACUUACGCUAAUACCGCAUACGACCUACGGGUGAAAGCAGGGGAUCUUCGGACCUUGCGCGAUUGAAUGAGCCGAUGUCGGAUUAGCUAGUUGGCGGGGUAAAGGCCCACCAAGGCGACGAUCCGUAGCUGGUCUGAGAGGAUGAUCAGCCACACUGGAACUGAGACACGGUCCAGACUCCUACGGGAGGGAGCAGUGGGGAAUGUUGGACAAUGGGCGCAAGCCUGAUCCAGCCAUACCGCGUGGGUGAAGAAGGCGUUCGGGUUGUAAAGACCUUUUGUUGGGAAAGAAAAGCAGCAGGUUAAUACCCCGCUGUUCUGACGGUACCCAAAGAAUAAGCACCGGCUAACUUCGUG